AGGGUUGUGGCUCAGUGGUAGAGUGCUUGCCUAGCAUGCAUGAGGCACUGGAUUUGAUCCCCAGUACCCAUA
This 72-nucleotide transfer RNA is filed under the name Ictidomys tridecemlineatus (thirteen-lined ground squirrel). RNAcentral describes it as "Spermophilus tridecemlineatus (thirteen-lined ground squirrel) tRNA". It matches the Rfam family "tRNA". From Rfam's summary of the family: Transfer RNA (tRNA) molecules are approximately 80 nucleotides in length. Their secondary structure includes four short double-helical elements and three loops (D, anti-codon, and T loops). Lineage: Eukaryota; Metazoa; Chordata; Mammalia; Rodentia; Sciuridae. The record is from Rfam by way of RNAcentral.